This 2904-nucleotide ribosomal RNA is filed under the name Escherichia coli. RNAcentral describes it as "23S ribosomal RNA". It matches the Rfam family "Bacterial large subunit ribosomal RNA". RNAcentral also lists the same sequence under 1 other name. The record is from RNAcentral. Lineage: Bacteria; Pseudomonadati; Pseudomonadota; Gammaproteobacteria; Enterobacterales; Enterobacteriaceae.
GGUUAAGCGACUAAGCGUACACGGUGGAUGCCCUGGCAGUCAGAGGCGAUGAAGGACGUGCUAAUCUGCGAUAAGCGUCGGUAAGGUGAUAUGAACCGUUAUAACCGGCGAUUUCCGAAUGGGGAAACCCAGUGUGAUUCGUCACACUAUCAUUAACUGAAUCCAUAGGUUAAUGAGGCGAACCGGGGGAACUGAAACAUCUAAGUACCCCGAGGAAAAGAAAUCAACCGAGAUUCCCCCAGUAGCGGCGAGCGAACGGGGAGCAGCCCAGAGCCUGAAUCAGUGUGUGUGUUAGUGGAAGCGUCUGGAAAGGCGCGCGAUACAGGGUGACAGCCCCGUACACAAAAAUGCACAUGCUGUGAGCUCGAUGAGUAGGGCGGGACACGUGGUAUCCUGUCUGAAUAUGGGGGGACCAUCCUCCAAGGCUAAAUACUCCUGACUGACCGAUAGUGAACCAGUACCGUGAGGGAAAGGCGAAAAGAACCCCGGCGAGGGGAGUGAAAAAGAACCUGAAACCGUGUACGUACAAGCAGUGGGAGCACGCUUAGGCGUGUGACUGCGUACCUUUUGUAUAAUGGGUCAGCGACUUAUAUUCUGUAGCAAGGUUAACCGAAUAGGGGAGCCGAAGGGAAACCGAGUCUUAACUGGGCGUUAAGUUGCAGGGUAUAGACCCGAAACCCGGUGAUCUAGCCAUGGGCAGGUUGAAGGUUGGGUAACACUAACUGGAGGACCGAACCGACUAAUGUUGAAAAAUUAGCGGAUGACUUGUGGCUGGGGGUGAAAGGCCAAUCAAACCGGGAGAUAGCUGGUUCUCCCCGAAAGCUAUUUAGGUAGCGCCUCGUGAAUUCAUCUCCGGGGGUAGAGCACUGUUUCGGCAAGGGGGUCAUCCCGACUUACCAACCCGAUGCAAACUGCGAAUACCGGAGAAUGUUAUCACGGGAGACACACGGCGGGUGCUAACGUCCGUCGUGAAGAGGGAAACAACCCAGACCGCCAGCUAAGGUCCCAAAGUCAUGGUUAAGUGGGAAACGAUGUGGGAAGGCCCAGACAGCCAGGAUGUUGGCUUAGAAGCAGCCAUCAUUUAAAGAAAGCGUAAUAGCUCACUGGUCGAGUCGGCCUGCGCGGAAGAUGUAACGGGGCUAAACCAUGCACCGAAGCUGCGGCAGCGACGCUGAUGCGUUGUUGGGUAGGGGAGCGUUCUGUAAGCCUGUGAAGGUGUGCUGUGAGGCAUGCUGGAGGUAUCAGAAGUGCGAAUGCUGACAUAAGUAACGAUAAAGCGGGUGAAAAGCCCGCUCGCCGGAAGACCAAGGGUUCCUGUCCAACGUUAAUCGGGGCAGGGUGAGUCGACCCCUAAGGCGAGGCCGAAAGGCGUAGUCGAUGGGAAACAGGUUAAUAUUCCUGUACUUGGUGUUACUGCGAAGGGGGGACGGAGAAGGCUAUGUUGGCCGGGCGACGGUUGUCCCGGUUUAAGCGUGUAGGCUGGUUUUCCAGGCAAAUCCGGAAAAUCAAGGCUGAGGCGUGAUGACGAGGCACUACGGUGCUGAAGCAACAAAUGCCCUGCUUCCAGGAAAAGCCUCUAAGCAUCAGGUAACAUCAAAUCGUACCCCAAACCGACACAGGUGGUCAGGUAGAGAAUACCAAGGCGCUUGAGAGAACUCGGGUGAAGGAACUAGGCAAAAUGGUGCCGUAACUUCGGGAGAAGGCACGCUGAUAUGUAGGUGAAGUCCCUCGCGGAUGGAGCUGAAAUCAGUCGAAGAUACCAGCUGGCUGCAACUGUUUAUUAAAAACACAGCACUGUGCAAACACGAAAGUGGACGUAUACGGUGUGACGCCUGCCCGGUGCCGGAAGGUUAAUUGAUGGGGUCAGCGCAAGCGAAGCUCUUGAUCGAAGCCCCGGUAAACGGCGGCCGUAACUAUAACGGUCCUAAGGUAGCGAAAUUCCUUGUCGGGUAAGUUCCGACCUGCACGAAUGGCGUAAUGAUGGCCAGGCUGUCUCCACCCGAGACUCAGUGAAAUUGAACUCGCUGUGAAGAUGCAGUGUACCCGCGGCAAGACGGAAAGACCCCGUGAACCUUUACUAUAGCUUGACACUGAACAUUGAGCCUUGAUGUGUAGGAUAGGUGGGAGGCUUUGAAGUGUGGACGCCAGUCUGCAUGGAGCCGGCCUUGAAAUACCACCCUUUAAUGUUUGAUGUUCUAACGUUGACCCGUGAUCCGGGUUGCGGACAGUGUCUGGUGGGUAGUUUGACUGGGGCGGUCUCCUCCUAAAGAGUAACGGAGGAGCACGAAGGUUGGCUAAUCCUGGUCGGACAUCAGGAGGUUAGUGCAAUGGCAUAAGCCAGCUUGACUGCGAGCGUGACGGCGCGAGCAGGUGCGAAAGCAGGUCAUAGUGAUCCGGUGGUUCUGAAUGGAAGGGCCAUCGCUCAACGGAUAAAAGGUACUCCGGGGAUAACAGGCUGAUACCGCCCAAGAGUUCAUAUCGACGGCGGUGUUUGGCACCUCGAUGUCGGCUCAUCACAUCCUGGGGCUGAAGUAGGUCCCAAGGGUAUGGCUGUUCGCCAUUUAAAGUGGUACGCGAGCUGGGUUUAGAACGUCGUGAGACAGUUCGGUCCCUAUCUGCCGUGGGCGCUGGAGAACUGAGGGGGGCUGCUCCUAGUACGAGAGGACCGGAGUGGACGCAUCACUGGUGUUCGGGUUGUCAUGCCAAUGGCACUGCCCGGUAGCUAAAUGCGGAAGAGAUAAGUGCUGAAAGCAUCUAAGCACGAAACUUGCCCCGAGAUGAGUUCUCCCUGACUCCUUGAGAGUCCUGAAGGAACGUUGAAGACGACGACGUUGAUAGGCCGGGUGUGUAAGCGCAGCGAUGCGUUGAGCUAACCGGUACUAAUGAACCGUGAGGCUUAACCUU